This 60-nucleotide transfer RNA is filed under the name Prototheca zopfii. Its description in RNAcentral is "tRNA-Arg". It matches the Rfam family "tRNA", at positions 6 to 62 of the family's 71-position model. Rfam says of the family: Transfer RNA (tRNA) molecules are approximately 80 nucleotides in length. The record is from RNAcentral. Lineage: Eukaryota; Viridiplantae; Chlorophyta; Trebouxiophyceae; Chlorellales; Chlorellaceae.
UUGUAGCUCAGUGGCUAGAGCAUAUGACUACGGAUCAUGGAGUCGGGGGUUCAAGUCCCU